Chenopodium quinoa (quinoa) is the source of this 595-nucleotide long non-coding RNA. RefSeq lists it as uncharacterized. The transcript has 2 exons. NCBI's taxonomy places the organism in Eukaryota, Viridiplantae, Streptophyta, Magnoliopsida, Caryophyllales, Amaranthaceae. The record is from RefSeq and is a predicted model, not a curated record.
UCUCUAAAGUUUCAAUCACGAUUUUUCAUUUGCUUUUCCUCUAAUGUCUAACUCCUUAGCUUGAUGGCACAUCUUCUUUCGAGGUUCCACCGUGCUUGAUUAAACAUUGAGCUUAUGCUUCCAUUGCUUAUAUGACUUGUGCUGGAUUUAGUUUGUCUAAGAAUCGCAAAUAAUGGGUCCAUGAUUAUAACAAGUAUCAUGAAAAGAACAUUUCCUUUUCAUGUACAAUAUUUAUAUUUUUAUUGUGGAAUAUACGAACCUCUAGCCCUUUCUUAACCUCCACCGUGGACUCAAGUCAAUAGUUUGGCAUGGAAACGUUGUUUCUUUAGAGAUGUUAAGAUUGCAAGCAAGGAGAUGAUCUCAAGAAGAUGGUUAAGAGCGGUUUCUAGAGAAGAACUCUAAACUCUUAUACUUCGUAUGUAUAAAGUGUUAUCAACAAUUUUAGUAUUGUAUUCAAUUUGUGUUAGUGGCUUAAAGUAUUAGAUAUUAUUUCCAUGGAUACUUCAUUUUUAGGUAAGGUUAUUUCUCACCCUUACAAAGUUGUUUUGCUGGUGUUUUGGCUCAUACUCAAAUAGUUAAAGAAUAGUCAUUUUUA